CGAUGUCCGAAUGGGGAAACCCAGUGUGACUCGUCACACUAUCAUUAACUGAAUCCAUAGGUUAAUGAGGCGAACCGGGGGAACUGAAACAUCUAAGUACCCCGAGGAAAAGAAAUCAACCGAGAUUCCCCCAGUAGCGGCGAGCGAACGGGGAGGAGCCCAGAGUCUGAAUCAGUUUGUGUGUUAGUGGAAGCGUCUGGAAAGUCGCGCGAUACAGGGUGAAAGCCCCGUACACAAAAAUGCACAGGCUGUGAGCUCGAUGAGUAGGGCGGGACACGUGGUAUCCUGUCUGAAUAUGGGGGGACCAUCCUCCAAGGCUAAAUACUCCUGACUGACCGAUAGUGAACCAGUACCGUGAGGGAAAGGCGAAAAGAACCCCGGCGAGGGGAGUGAAAAAGAACCUGAAACCGUGUACGUACAAGCAGUGGGAGCAUCCUUCGGGGUGUGACUGCGUACCUUUUGUAUAAUGGGUCAGCGACUUAUAUUCUGUAGCAAGGUUAACCGUAUAGGGGAGCCGAAGGGAAACCGAGUCUUAA
Molecule: ribosomal RNA, 536 nt
Filed under: Trabulsiella odontotermitis
Lineage: Bacteria; Pseudomonadati; Pseudomonadota; Gammaproteobacteria; Enterobacterales; Enterobacteriaceae
Description: bacterial LSU rRNA
Rfam family: Bacterial large subunit ribosomal RNA
Source: RNAcentral